UACGUAGGUGGCAAGCGUUGUCCGGAUUUACUGGGCGUAAAGAGCGCGCAGGCGGUCGUUCAAGUCGCGUGUGAAAGCCCCCGGCUCAACUGGGGAGGGUCACGCGAUACUGAUCGACUCGAAGGCAGGAGAGGGUAGUGGAAUUCCCGGUGUAGUGGUGAAAUGCGUAGAUAUCGGGAAGAACAUCGGUGGCGAAGGCGGCCUGCUGGGCUGUUGCUGACGCUGAGGCGCGACAGCGUGGGGAGCAAACAGG
RNAcentral lists this ribosomal RNA (253 nucleotides) under uncultured bacterium. Its description in RNAcentral is "partial 16S ribosomal RNA". It matches the Rfam family "Bacterial small subunit ribosomal RNA", at positions 524 to 776 of the family's 1533-position model. The record is from RNAcentral.